RNAcentral lists this small nuclear RNA (305 nucleotides) under Nannospalax galili (Upper Galilee mountains blind mole rat). RNAcentral describes it as "7SK RNA (ENSNGAG00000002511.1)". It matches the Rfam family "7SK RNA". Rfam says of the family: 7SK was discovered as an abundant small nuclear RNA in the mid-70s but a possible function has only recently been suggested. Lineage: Eukaryota; Metazoa; Chordata; Mammalia; Rodentia; Spalacidae. The record is from Rfam by way of RNAcentral.
CCAUGUGCAGUCAUGCUGGUUGUGACAUCUGUCAUCCUAUUGAUUAUCAGCUGAUCAGGCUGGCAGAGGGGCUGUUCCCUUCUUCCUUAGCUACUGCAUGACCAUCCCUUCAGAAGCUGGAAUUUGGUUGGAGAGGAUGAUCUUCCUGCAUAGAGAAGGACCUUUCUUUGGUCCACAGUCUUUGGGUAGUUGUUCUACCUUGCUAGAACCUCCAAAUGAGUCUCAAAGUCCGUUUGUGGCAUAAUGUAGGUGGUCAAGCUUCCAAGCCCCCAGAAGCACCCCUAAAGAAUAACUGUAACUGUUAG